This 201-nucleotide long non-coding RNA is filed under the name Lathyrus oleraceus (garden pea). RNAcentral's name for it is "Pisum sativum (pea) long non-coding RNA (PSAT_LNC020789)". The record is from RNAcentral. Lineage: Eukaryota; Viridiplantae; Streptophyta; Magnoliopsida; Fabales; Fabaceae.
UUUAUUUGAUGCAUUGAUCUUCAUGAUGUCUGAUAUUGUUAAUUUCUUGUUGAUGAUUGCUUGAUUCAAAGUCCAAAGGGAAAAUGGGUCUUCUAUAAGACAUUCUUGUCUGUUGGAUUGCAUCCCAUUGGUCAGACCUUCUCAACUCUUAACUUUUAAUUUUAUGCUUAGGAUUAGUCUCUUCAUCUCCUCCCACUUCUU